GCAGUCGAGGGGUAUAUGUUCUUCGGAGAUAGAGACCGGCGCACGGGUGCGUAACGCGUAUGCAAUCUACCUUUUACAGAGGGAUAGCCCAGAGAAAUUUGGAUUAAUACCUCAUAGUAUUGCAGAAUGGCAUCAUUCAGCAAUUAAAGUCACAACGGUAAAAGAUGAGCAUGCGUCCCAUUAGCUAGUUGGUAAGGUAACGGCUUACCAAGGCUACGAUGGGUAGGGGUCCUGAGAGGGAGAUCCCCCACACUGGUACUGAGACACGGACCAGACUCCUACGGGAGGCAGCAGUGAGGAAUAUUGGACAAUGGGCGCAAGCCUGAUCCAGCCAUGCCGCGUGCAGGAUGACGGUCCUAUGGAUUGUAAACUGCUUUUAUACGAGAAGAAACACUCCUUCGUGAAGGAGCUUGACGGUAUCGUAAGAAUAAGGAUCGGCUAACUCCGUGCCAGCAGCCGCGGUAAUACGGAGGAUCCAAGCGUUAUCCGGAAUCAUUGGGUUUAAAGGGUCCGUAGGCGGUUUAAUAAGUCAGUGGUGAAAGCCCAUCGCUCAACGGUGGAACGGCCAUUGAUACUGUUAGACUUGAAUUAUUAGGAAGUAACUAGAAUAUGUAGUGUAGCGGUGAAAUGCUUAGAGAUUACAUGGAAUACCAAUUGCGAAGGCAGGUUACUACUAAUGGAUUGACGCUGAUGGACGAAAGCGUGGGUAGCGAACAGGAUUAGAUACCCUGGUAGUCCACGCCGUAAACGAUGGAUACUAGCUGUUGGGUGCAAACUCAGUGGCUAAGCGAAAGUGAUAAGUAUCCCACCUGGGGAGUACGUUCGCAA
Molecule: ribosomal RNA, 828 nt
Filed under: Flavobacterium sp. TAP2-3_Pa
Lineage: Bacteria; Pseudomonadati; Bacteroidota; Flavobacteriia; Flavobacteriales; Flavobacteriaceae
Description: bacterial SSU rRNA
Rfam family: Bacterial small subunit ribosomal RNA
Source: RNAcentral